CAGCCGCCACGGGAACACGAAGGGGGCUAGCGUUGCUCGGAAUCGCUGGGCGUAAAGGGUGCGUAGGCGGGUCUUUAAGUCAGGGGUGAAAUCCUGGAGCUCAACUCCAGAACUGCCUUUGAUACUGAAGAUCUUGAGUUCGGGAGAGGUGAGUGGAACUGCGAGUGUAGAGGUGAAAUUCGUAGAUAUUCGCAAGAACACCAGUGGCGAGGGCGGCUCACUGGCCCGAUACUGACGCUGAGGCACGAAAGCGUGGGGAGCAAACAGGAUUAGAUACCCCCGUAGUCCCUGUCUCUUAUAA
RNAcentral lists this ribosomal RNA (301 nucleotides) under uncultured bacterium. RNAcentral describes it as "partial 16S ribosomal RNA". It matches the Rfam family "Bacterial small subunit ribosomal RNA", at positions 509 to 809 of the family's 1533-position model. The record is from RNAcentral.